CCGCCAUUUGACCGAGACCUAGCCGCCUCCUCCCUCGCUCGCCUCCGUGGUGCCCUAGCCGCUGCCUUCUUCCUCCCACGCCCCUGCCUCCCUCUCCUCUUCCUCUCCCCUAGCGCCGCCCGCACCCGCGCCUCCCUCUCCUCCUCUCGCCCCUAGCGCCGGCACCACUGCCUCCUUCCCCGCUGCCACCCGGCCUCCUCCCCUCACGUUGCCCUCCAUCCACCCCUCCGAUCUGGCGCCGCCCAAACCCCAAUGCCCCGCCCCGGCCCUGGCUCCCACGGGAGGGAAGGAGGAAUUGCGAGGCGAGGCAAAGGCGGCAGCGUAUGGCACGCGGCGCGGGCGGCGUGGCCCAGGGGGUCGGCGCAGCCGUGGCUUCUCGUCGUCUCCGCCGUCGCCUCGGAGCCCAGCCGGCCGCCGCCGCACAUCAUGAGGUGGAAUGCCACCCAUUUCCCCGCCGUCCCCUCGGCCCAGGCUACCCCUAGCGCCACGGUCGCCAUGUCCCUGCCUUCUCCUCGACAGGAGGAAGAGCGAGGCCACAAACGGAUCUGGAGAUUGAAUCGGGCUCCAAUGGCUCCUGCGUGGCAUGAUGCCUGUUAAGGGUGGUUGCUAUCUCAGAUAUCUCCUCGUUCCUCUUCGUGUGCUGCUAGGAGCCUAUAUGUGAUGUGUACCUGUGUUGGUGCCUUUACAGAAGAUCCAUUAUGCCUUCCUCUCGGUGUGUGUUGUUGAGGCUAUCAAACAAGCCAAUGGCGUUGCAUAAAUGGUUUGUGAAGAUUGCCAUUGGAGUCUAGCUGGGGUAGUAGGCUGUCAAAAAGAUGUGGUCGCUUGUAGAACACCUUGAAGCUCCCAAAAUGCAAACACCAGGAGAUAGGGAUGUCAAACUGAAACAAAGAAGCCCAUGAUCGGUCUCAUAAUGUUACCAAUAGUACCGCCAUCAGCUGCAAAGAUGACAAGCUCAAGCAGGUCUGAUCCAGUGACAACAACAAUAGUGCAAGGUGCAUGAGCAGGCCUACAUAUUUCUCAAAAGAGCACGCCGUUGCCAACGACUGGAGAAGCGCCAGCCACCGAGUCGGACGUCCACUUCGCCAUUGCCGUCGUCCUUGCCCCGGCAGAAGCACGUUAUAUCUGUCCUUUCAUUUUUACUUUUUCUUAAAUGUAUUUAUUUGAAGGCGCACCUUUAGUUAUUAACCAAUACAUGUAUUGUUCAUGUCUUCUACUCCCUCUGUAAAGAAAUAUGUAUCUUAUAUUUGAAGGUGCAUCUUCUACUCUCUCUGUAAAGAAAUAUAAGAUAGGUAUAUAAGAUAGGUAUUUCUUUAUAGAGGGAGUACAUAGUUCUUCGAGCCCAAAAGUAUAACUAUGUAGAUGAAUUGUAUGAUGGGUUACAAACUUUACUUAUAAGACUACAUGAACUGCUAAUUGCUUCUUUUAAUAAAAGAUGAUCAACUCUAAUCUCGACCUGGUUUGUGUCAUGUUGGGAGGUGGAUGGGAGGCCAUUCCAAAGGAUUGUUUUGGCAGAAUCGACUGACUGCGCUAACUGGGAUUUAAUGUAUAUAUGGUAUUUUCAUAUUCUUGGUCACGUGUAGAAUACAUUGUCUGAUAGGAUUAGUUUUUCUAUGAACUUUUGGUGGAUAAAGUGUUUUGCAUCAACAAAUUUUAUCGUUGUAUUUUCCUGAGAUAUGAGACAUGAAUCUCUUCUAAUGAUGGUUGUCGAGCUGUUGAGCUCUAUAUUUGUUUUACCUGAUAUAAUGUUCAGUUUGCCCAUUAGUAGCUGGUGUUACAAUACACAUUUCAUCGAAGGAAGAUCACUAUUUUUGUGUGUGUGUGUUUACACACUUAGUUAUGUGUUGUCACAAAAAUGUUAGAUUAGCAUAAUUGCAUUAUCCUUUAAAAUAUGUCUAGCAGGUCAUUCAACGCAUCAUGCGAGGAGUCAAAUGACAAGGCAACCGAACCAAUCAAUACGUAGUAUGCCUUAGUAGAACUAUAUAGGUUUCUUACAACUCUACUCUUUGUAAUGAACUUGAUGCAGAUAUGUUAUCUUGGGUAACCACUGUGGUUUGCUUCUGGAACAGAUUAAAAAAUUUCCUCUUUGCGAUGUGCUUGCAGAACAAUUAGUUCACUGCAUGUACCUCAACUGCUUUUGGUAUAUCUUCAUGGUCUGCCAUCGAUACUAAACUUACUGAAACUGAACAAUUACUCCAAUUUCCUUUUGAUGUACCAAAUGUUUUAUUAUAUUGAUGUCUUAUAUGUUGCGCCACAACCUGCAUGUAUUUUAGAUGUGACUCCUUUAUUCUCAGUUAGUUGCAUCAGCUUGCACUUAUUAUGUUCUUUCAUGCCUACUUACAUGAGUGUGUCACUUAUAUUGUUCAUGCUGUCUGGGGGCUGAUCAUUAUACAACCGUUGCGGCCUAUCAAUAAAUGUUACGAUGAUAGAGAGAUUGAUCAGUCUUUCUCGGAUAAUAUAUGGUUUGACUUAUUGUUGUUAUAUACUUUCUUCAGAUAUAGGCCUGCUACCAUGUCUUUUCUCGCUGGACAUGCUUUCCGAUGGCGACAGUGAGGACUUCUACCCCGCUCCUCUCCCAGCAAGGCAUCUCUACCUCCCUCAUGCAAAGAUACCCGAAGACCGUCUUGGACUCUUCCUUCUUCAGUGUUUCCUCUUAUUGUUACACAACUUUGUGGUGCUUAGUGCAUAUAUCAUCCCCUCCUAUCAAUUCAUUCUGAAAUAAAGAGAUGGAGGGUUGUUAGUGUUUAUGGGAAAUGGUUGCAUUUUACAGAAAAAAUGUGUCUUUGUUGACCGGUUUUGCUCGAGAUAAAAAAGUCUUUCCUACUAUUGGUGUCAAACUCUUACUUUAGACUUCACAUGAUCUAAUCGGUGUUCUAUACAGAACAUCACUUUUUGGUUUUGGCUAAUCUCUCUGUUUUCUAUAGACAUGUGUUGUCCCAAUCUGCUAAUUUUAUAUUCAGAGGUAGCAUUGAUGUAGUUGCAUCAUUCAAAAGGCCAUAUGUGUUGCUUUUGUUCUACUUCUCUUCCAUAUCCAGUUAUUUAGAAAUAGCUAUGGUAACCUUUUAGCACUUAAAUAGGAUUAGGUAUAAUGUGAAUCAUUUGCUUCAUUUGGUUGACAAAUUAUAGCUUUAGCUCUCAGGUACUGAAUGUUGGAUUGAUCCAUUUUGUUCUUUUGCGCCUGCUGCUCCUUGCUGAUUCCUGUCGUGCUGCUGCUCGCUUGGUGUGUCGGAUUGGGGCCGUGGAUUCAAUGGCAUCGGUGUGUCGCGAGCUCCUCUAUUCUAGCAGUCUGUGCGCCGGAUCUGUUGUUGUGACCCUCGAUCUGUUGGUCUGCUGGGAGUGCUCGUGGCUUUGGUCGAUUUGUCCUGAUGUGUCUUCAGUCGCCGCUCUGCAGGACCCAAUUGCUAGAUAUAUUAUUCGGAACUCUCUAAAGUUGAAAGGUUCUGAUGCUGAAAUGGUUAUGUGAAAUUGGUUUUAGUUAAUGUUUCUUGUGUACUGUGGAUACUAAGGGGCAAUGGGCACAACUACAAAACUCAGAGCAGCAAAGCCCACAUAUACUACCUGAAGAAGAGCUCUCUGUUCUCCUUUAGUUAUCACCUUUUAUCGUUCUUUUACUACUUACAAUAGUGUUGGGACCGGCACCCUUGCGCCAAGGCGCGAUCCCGAUCUAGUCGGAGUAGAGUGGGGUGUGGAGUAGGAGGAUUACAAGCGGAGUACGAGAUGGGGUGAACAUGGACAGCAUGCAAGCAAGUCGGUGAUUUUCUCUCUUUUCCCCCUGAUCUUUGCAUCAAUUGGCCACUGAUUUUCUUGGGGUACACUGCCUACAGUUAUUUUUUGAGUACUCUGGUGCUCGCGCUCUACGCAAUUAGUCUUCCUUGCAUAUUUCACACCAUCAUUUUUUCUUGGUCACUACCUUUAGUGCAAGUUGGUCUCUGUAUUAUAAUUUUGAAAGAUUAAAAUAUUGUCAAAUUAGGUGUAUGAUACUGUUGUAAUCAACAAUUUUUUGUAUAAUUGGACACAAUAUACCAUGAUUAAUGACAAUAGAUGCAUCUCUAGGUCAUUAUUUUCCCUCAUGGAGGACACGUAUAAUCUAUGGAAGGUCCCGUGUUAAAAGAUUUGACUAGGCAUUCAUUUCAUCUGAAGUUUACUAUCAUGGAAAUGAUUUUAAUCCAAGAUAAGAUGUAACCAAGAAUUAAUUUAAAUUAAGACUGCACCAUGUUCAUGUUAAGUAAAGAAGUUAAGGGCUUAUCGUAACCAAGUUUCUCAAUCUGAUUGUAUGGUGUGGUCCUUUCUAUGGUAUGUUGAAAGGAACAUCUUGGUUUGGAGGGGUUGUGAACUUCAGUUUAGAUUAUUUUAGGUACAGAGAUCACUGCCAGUACAUAUGCCCUUGCAUAUUUAUGAAAAGAAAAUAUCACCGUACUAUAGCCCUCAGUUGUUGUUUUUUGUAUUUGCACAUAAAUCCUAUGUCUUAUGGUUUAUUUUUUAAGCACCAUAUUUUUGUACAUUCAACUUAUAUCAGGG
Non-coding RNA from Triticum urartu, 4515 nucleotides. NCBI's taxonomy places the organism in Eukaryota, Viridiplantae, Streptophyta, Magnoliopsida, Poales, Poaceae. The record is from RefSeq and is a predicted model, not a curated record.